UAAGCCAGUGUCCUACUUACAAGGGUGGA
Molecule: non-coding RNA, 29 nt
Filed under: Homo sapiens (human)
Lineage: Eukaryota; Metazoa; Chordata; Mammalia; Primates; Hominidae
Source: RNAcentral